CAUUAUCGAAUAAACUUGAACAGGCUGUUGCUGGUCCUUCGGGAUAUGUGCACGCUUGUCAUCUUUGUUGUUUCUCCAACUGUGCACAUAUUGUAGACCUGUUUGUCGUUGGAUUCGUUCCGAGUUGGGGACUGCCGUGCUAAGGUCGGCUUUGCCCUUGAAGCAGGUCUAUGUCAUUUUUUCACAACCUCUCGAAUGUGUUUAGAAUGUUGAAAAUCAGGUCCUCGUACCUAUAAAGUUAUAAAUACAACUUUCAGCAACGGAUCUCUUGGCUCUCGCAUCGAUGAAGAACGCAGCGAAAUGCGAUAAGUAAUGUGAAUUGCAGAAUUCAGUGAAUCAUCGAAUCUUUGAACGCAUCUUGUGCUCCUUGGUAUUCCGAGGAGCAUGCCUGUUUGAGUGUCAUUUAAAUUCUCAACCACGUCAAUCAGACGUGGCUUUGGACUUGGGGGGUUUUUGCAGGCUUUUCUUAUCAAGUCGGCUCCCCUGAAAUGCAUUAGUGGUAUCUGGAGCGGGAAACUACUAGGUGUGAUAAAUAUCAUCUAUGCCUUUUGGUAUGCCGCAUGAAACAGGUUGUGCUGCUUCCAACGCACCCUUUGACAAACUUG
This 605-nucleotide ribosomal RNA is filed under the name uncultured fungus. RNAcentral's name for it is "eukaryotic LSU rRNA". The stretch from base 249 to 402 matches the Rfam family "5.8S ribosomal RNA". Lineage: Eukaryota; Fungi. The record is from RNAcentral.